RNAcentral lists this ribosomal RNA (429 nucleotides) under bacterium. RNAcentral describes it as "partial 16S ribosomal RNA". It matches the Rfam family "Bacterial small subunit ribosomal RNA", at positions 355 to 776 of the family's 1533-position model. The record is from RNAcentral. RNAcentral also lists the same sequence under 3 other names.
UGGGGAAUAUUGCACAAUGGGCGCAAGCCUGAUGCAGCCAUGCCGCGUGUAUGAAGAAGGCCUUCGGGUUGUAAAGUACUUUCAGCGGGGAGGAAGGUGUUGAGGUUAAUAACCUCAGCAAUUGACGUUACCCGCAGAAGAAGCACCGGCUAACUCCGUGCCAGCAGCCGCGGUAAUACGGAGGGUGCAAGCGUUAAUCGGAAUUACUGGGCGUAAAGCGCACGCAGGCGGUCUGUCAAGUCGGAUGUGAAAUCCCCGGGCUCAACCUGGGAACUGCAUUCGAAACUGGCAGGCUAGAGUCUUGUAGAGGGGGGUAGAAUUCCAGGUGUAGCGGUGAAAUGCGUAGAGAUCUGGAGGAAUACCGGUGGCGAAGGCGGCCCCCUGGACAAAGACUGACGCUCAGGUGCGAAAGCGUGGGGAGCAAACAGG